This 539-nucleotide ribosomal RNA is filed under the name uncultured bacterium. RNAcentral's name for it is "bacterial SSU rRNA". It matches the Rfam family "Bacterial small subunit ribosomal RNA", at positions 777 to 1329 of the family's 1533-position model. The record is from RNAcentral.
AAUAGAUACCCCGGUAGUCCACGCCGUAAACGAUGAGUACUAGUUGUCGGGGGUAUCGACCCCCUCGGUAACGAAGCUAACGCGAUAAGUACUCCGCCUGGGGACUACGGCCGCAAGGCUAAAACUCAAAGGAAUUGACGGGGGGCCCGCACAAGCAGCGGAGCGUGCGGUUUAAUUCGAAGCGACGCGAAGAACCUUACCAGGGCUUGACAUGUUGAGGACCGCCGGUGAAAGUCGGCUUCCCUUCGGGGCCUCAUCACAGAUGCUGCAUGGUCGUCGUCAGCUCGUGCCGUGAGGUGUUGGGUUAAGUCCCGCAACGAGCGCAACCCCUGUCGCCAGUUGUACUUCUCUGGCGAGACUGCCCGGAGCAACCGGGAGGAAGGCGGGGAUGAUGUCAGAUCAGCAUGGCUCUUACGUCCUGGGCCACUCGCACGCUACAAUGGGCAGUACAGACCGUUGCGAAACCGUGAGGUGAAGCUAAUCGGAUAAAGCUGUCCUCAGUUCGGAUUGCAGGCUGCAACCCGCCUGCAUGAAGCCGG